Molecule: non-coding RNA, 75 nt
Organism: Marmota monax (woodchuck)
Lineage: Eukaryota; Metazoa; Chordata; Mammalia; Rodentia; Sciuridae
Source: the annotation of a RefSeq genome assembly
UUUGGGGCUAUAGCUCAGUGGUAGAGUGUAUGCUUAGCAUGCAUGAGGCCCUGGGUUCAAACCCCAGUACCAAAA